UGUCUGGAAGAAAGCUGAUUUUGUAUACUUCAUGCAGGGGCUGGGGCUGAACUCACUCUGCUGGGACCCUGCCUGCUCUGCUGUGCCCCUUGGGGCACAGCCCCCAGGGCAUACAGAAGGGUCUGCACUGCAGGAGCAUGUGAGGGAGACCAGGCUGCCUGUGGGCCCCUCAUCCUCUAACGAAGGACAAUUUAUGACCCAGCUGCAGUGAUGGGAAUUCAAGACCACUCAACAUGUUCACAUUCAAAAAAUCGAGAUUGGGUUUCUAUGUUACCCAGGCUGGUCUCAAACUCCUGGGCUCAAGCAGUCCUCCCACCAGAGCCUCCCAAAGUACUGGGAUCACAGGCAUGAGCCCCGCCCUCAAUUGCAGAUACUAACACAGAGGAGGGACAUAGCGUCUGUCAGUUGGGGAGUCAAAGCAGUUCCCCACGGAGACAAAGUCCCUGGGAAUCCAGCCAGUAGGUGAGGAGGGAGCAUGGGAAAAAGGCUGACAGCACCACUUUUGUGUCUAGAAUGUAUCCCUGGAAGAGGGAAAAAGGAUCUUUCAGCCCCAGGACCCUGCAGCUCCUGAAAGCUCUCGCCUCCUCGCCUGGCAGGGUCUGCACGCUGGAGGGAAGCAGCCCUCUUUGGAAUCCAAGUCUCCACCCAUGGCCUGGGAGGAUGGAAAUGAGCCCAAAGAUGUGCUGCAGAGCCAGAGACGUUGGGAGAGGCAGCAUGGAGACCACCGGAGCCAGGUGGGGGAUGGCAACUGAGCUGGAGGCAGUGCAGGCAUCAUUCAGGUGAAUGAGGUGGGUUCUGGGAGCCUUGGCACUGGCUGGGCAUGCAGGGUCCUGCGCAUGUCUCCCCAUGGGGUCCCUUCUGCUCUGGUGGUCCUCAGAUUCCACCACCAGAAGGUUCUUCUUGCUCAGAAGUACUGGGUGCAGGAGGAGAGCAGUGCUCAGUGAUGCCAGGUCAGCAAUGGGGAGGAUGGACAAGGCUGUGGCUGGGGUCUCCUGCUGGGUGUCGGCCCUCUGUGUUCUCUGUGUGUUCUCAGCCUUGGUGGCCAGGAGCAGAGGUGGUUUGGGGAAGGGACAAGGACAGACCCUAAUCUGUCCACCUGGAGAAGGGACUCCCAGCACAUCACUGAAAAGUGCUCUGGGGGCCUGGCGCAGUGGCUCAUGCCUGUAAUCCCAGCACUUUGGGAGGCCGAUGUGGGCAGA
Long non-coding RNA from Callithrix jacchus (white-tufted-ear marmoset), 1199 nucleotides. RefSeq lists it as uncharacterized. NCBI's taxonomy places the organism in Eukaryota, Metazoa, Chordata, Mammalia, Primates, Cebidae. The record is from RefSeq and is a predicted model, not a curated record.